Sapajus apella (tufted capuchin) is the source of this 915-nucleotide long non-coding RNA. RefSeq lists it as uncharacterized. The record is from RefSeq and is a predicted model, not a curated record. The transcript has 2 exons. NCBI's taxonomy places the organism in Eukaryota, Metazoa, Chordata, Mammalia, Primates, Cebidae.
GGCACAGAGUGGGAGCCAAGGACACCAUUUGUAUGCAGGCUUGCAAACAGCCACUCGCCCAAAGACACUAUGAAUUUUCCCAGGCAGCUCCUCCCCAUAUUCCAUAUAGAGGAAUCGGCAGGUGUGUGCAACACGCAGGGAGGGCUGGUGGGAGGCUAGCUACACCUCCUCGAGGCCCGCUGAAAUGCCUGUACAGAGGUAGCUUCUUCCUGGGACUCUCUCCUCUUCCCUGAGACGGCCAGUAGGGAGCAAGGAAGGAGCAAGGAGGGCCAGUCAACUGUGACUGAGAACAAGAUCCCCCUGGGGCAGGUGCUGGCCCCAAGCCAGAGGUCAAUGGAACUCCUGAACUCCCUGCAGCAGAGACACACUUCUUCCAAACCAGGAACGGUGUCUGCAUGGAUUCCCCCAGGAGACAGGGAUGAAGAUGCCCAAGAGGUUACAGGCGGGGAAAGAGAGGCCUGGCAAGAAGCCCCCAAAUUGUUUAAGCCUCAACCUCGAAAAGCCUGGAUCGACCCCUGGAGGAAGGGCAGCCAGACCCUUGGAAGAGGGUCAACAGCUACGAAGGAAGCCAGGUGUCGCCUGUCUCCUCCAGUGCCCAGUGCUCCCAGUCAUCUCCCAACUCUCCUGGGUGUGCUCACACUGGCCUGGCCCACCCCAGAACUGAUCAACAAACACUUGAUGUGGAUGCAUUAAACCUGCUCAUGAUACAGACUCACAGGCCGGGAGGAGGGCUCUUGAAAGAAUCAAGUAAGUAGCCCCCUCCACAUCCACAGGGGAUCGCCCCCACCAACCCCAGAAAGCCGCUCCAGAUUUCAGAGACCAACAUUCUAUAACUUUCUGUGCUGAUGAAUUUGGUUAGUGGAAGACUACUAAAUUCUGGUCCUGUUCCCUCAGUAAAAAAUGUCACCAGGAGUC